RNAcentral lists this ribosomal RNA (262 nucleotides) under Hyla sarda. RNAcentral's name for it is "partial 16S ribosomal RNA". It matches the Rfam family "Bacterial large subunit ribosomal RNA", at positions 2512 to 2832 of the family's 2925-position model. The record is from RNAcentral. Lineage: Eukaryota; Metazoa; Chordata; Amphibia; Anura; Hylidae.
GCGGGUUUACGACCUCGAUGUUGGAUCAGGGUAUCCCAGUGGUGCAGCCGCUACUAAAGGUUCGUUUGUUCAACGAUUAAAACCCUACGUGAUCUGAGUUCAGACCGGAGUAAUCCAGGUCAGUUUCUAUCUAUAAAGAGCUUUUUCUAGUACGAAAGGACCGAAAAAACAUGGCCCAUGCAUUAUGCAAGCCGUAUUUAAUAAUUUAUGACCCAGACUCAAUAAAUAUUUAAUCUGUAAUAAAACUCUAAACAAGAGCGUU